This 2900-nucleotide ribosomal RNA is filed under the name Escherichia coli. Its description in RNAcentral is "bacterial LSU rRNA". It matches the Rfam family "Bacterial large subunit ribosomal RNA". The record is from RNAcentral. Lineage: Bacteria; Pseudomonadati; Pseudomonadota; Gammaproteobacteria; Enterobacterales; Enterobacteriaceae.
UUAAGCGACUAAGCGUACACGGUGGAUGCCCUGGCAGUCAGAGGCGAUGAAGGACGUGCUAAUCUGCGAUAAGCGUCGGUAAGGUGAUAUGAACCGUUAUAACCGGCGAUUUCCGAAUGGGGAAACCCAGUGUGAUUCGUCACACUAUCAUUAACUGAAUCCAUAGGUUAAUGAGGCGAACCGGGGGAACUGAAACAUCUAAGUACCCCGAGGAAAAGAAAUCAACCGAGAUUCCCCCAGUAGCGGCGAGCGAACGGGGAGCAGCCCAGAGCCUGAAUCAGUGUGUGUGUUAGUGGAAGCGUCUGGAAAGGCGCGCGAUACAGGGUGACAGCCCCGUACACAAAAAUGCACAUAUUGUGAGCUCGAUGAGUAGGGCGGGACACGUGGUAUCCUGUCUGAAUAUGGGGGGACCAUCCUCCAAGGCUAAAUACUCCUGACUGACCGAUAGUGAACCAGUACCGUGAGGGAAAGGCGAAAAGAACCCCGGCGAGGGGAGUGAAAAAGAACCUGAAACCGUGUACGUACAAGCAGUGGGAGCCUCUUUAUGGGGUGACUGCGUACCUUUUGUAUAAUGGGUCAGCGACUUAUAUUCUGUAGCAAGGUUAACCGAAUAGGGGAGCCGAAGGGAAACCGAGUCUUAACUGGGCGUUAAGUUGCAGGGUAUAGACCCGAAACCCGGUGAUCUAGCCAUGGGCAGGUUGAAGGUUGGGUAACACUAACUGGAGGACCGAACCGACUAAUGUUGAAAAAUUAGCGGAUGACUUGUGGCUGGGGGUGAAAGGCCAAUCAAACCGGGAGAUAGCUGGUUCUCCCCGAAAGCUAUUUAGGUAGCGCCUCGUGAAUUCAUCUCCGGGGGUAGAGCACUGUUUCGGCAAGGGGGUCAUCCCGACUUACCAACCCGAUGCAAACUGCGAAUACCGGAGAAUGUUAUCACGGGAGACACACGGCGGGUGCUAACGUCCGUCGUGAAGAGGGAAACAACCCAGACCGCCAGCUAAGGUCCCAAAGUCAUGGUUAAGUGGGAAACGAUGUGGGAAGGCCCAGACAGCCAGGAUGUUGGCUUAGAAGCAGCCAUCAUUUAAAGAAAGCGUAAUAGCUCACUGGUCGAGUCGGCCUGCGCGGAAGAUGUAACGGGGCUAAACCAUGCACCGAAGCUGCGGCAGCGACACUAUGUGUUGUUGGGUAGGGGAGCGUUCUGUAAGCCUGCGAAGGUGUGCUGUGAGGCAUGCUGGAGGUAUCAGAAGUGCGAAUGCUGACAUAAGUAACGAUAAAGCGGGUGAAAAGCCCGCUCGCCGGAAGACCAAGGGUUCCUGUCCAACGUUAAUCGGGGCAGGGUGAGUCGACCCCUAAGGCGAGGCCGAAAGGCGUAGUCGAUGGGAAACAGGUUAAUAUUCCUGUACUUGGUGUUACUGCGAAGGGGGGACGGAGAAGGCUAUGUUGGCCGGGCGACGGUUGUCCCGGUUUAAGCGUGUAGGCUGGUUUUCCAGGCAAAUCCGGAAAAUCAAGGCUGAGGCGUGAUGACGAGGCACUACGGUGCUGAAGCAACAAAUGCCCUGCUUCCAGGAAAAGCCUCUAAGCACCAGGUAACAUCAAAUCGUACCCCAAACCGACACAGGUGGUCAGGUAGAGAAUACCAAGGCGCUUGAGAGAACUCGGGUGAAGGAACUAGGCAAAAUGGUGCCGUAACUUCGGGAGAAGGCACGCUGAUAUGUAGGUGAAGUCCCUCGCGGAUGGAGCUGAAAUCAGUCGAAGAUACCAGCUGGCUGCAACUGUUUAUUAAAAACACAGCACUGUGCAAACACGAAAGUGGACGUAUACGGUGUGACGCCUGCCCGGUGCCGGAAGGUUAAUUGAUGGGGUCAGCGCAAGCGAAGCUCUUGAUCGAAGCCCCGGUAAACGGCGGCCGUAACUAUAACGGUCCUAAGGUAGCGAAAUUCCUUGUCGGGUAAGUUCCGACCUGCACGAAUGGCGUAAUGAUGGCCAGGCUGUCUCCACCCGAGACUCAGUGAAAUUGAACUCGCUGUGAAGAUGCAGUGUACCCGCGGCAAGACGGAAAGACCCCGUGAACCUUUACUAUAGCUUGACACUGAACAUUGAGCCUUGAUGUGUAGGAUAGGUGGGAGGCUUUGAAGUGUGGACGCCAGUCUGCAUGGAGCCGGCCUUGAAAUACCACCCUUUAAUGUUUGAUGUUCUAACGUGGACCCGUAAUCCGGGUUGCGGACAGUGUCUGGUGGGUAGUUUGACUGGGGCGGUCUCCUCCUAAAGAGUAACGGAGGAGCACGAAGGUUGGCUAAUCCUGGUCGGACAUCAGGAGGUUAGUGCAAUGGCAUAAGCCAGCUUGACUGCGAGCGUGACGGCGCGAGCAGGUGCGAAAGCAGGUCAUAGUGAUCCGGUGGUUCUGAAUGGAAGGGCCAUCGCUCAACGGAUAAAAGGUACUCCGGGGAUAACAGGCUGAUACCGCCCAAGAGUUCAUAUCGACGGCGGUGUUUGGCACCUCGAUGUCGGCUCAUCACAUCCUGGGGCUGAAGUAGGUCCCAAGGGUAUGGCUGUUCGCCAUUUAAAGUGGUACGCGAGCUGGGUUUAGAACGUCGUGAGACAGUUCGGUCCCUAUCUGCCGUGGGCGCUGGAGAACUGAGGGGGGCUGCUCCUAGUACGAGAGGACCGGAGUGGACGCAUCACUGGUGUUCGGGUUGUCAUGCCAAUGGCACUGCCCGGUAGCUAAAUGCGGAAGAGAUAAGUGCUGAAAGCAUCUAAGCACGAAACUUGCCCCGAGAUGAGUUCUCCCUGACUCCUUGAGAGUCCUGAAGGAACGUUGAAGACGACGACGUUGAUAGGCCGGGUGUGUAAGCGCAGCGAUGCGUUGAGCUAACCGGUACUAAUGAACCGUGAGGCUUAACCUU